UACGGGGGAAGCAAGCGUUGUUCGGAUUUACUGGGCGUAAAGGGCGCGUAGGCGGCCACUGCAAGUCAGUUGUGAAAUCUCCGGGCUUAACCCGGAAAGGUCAACUGAUACUGCAGGGCUAGAGUGCAGAAGGGGCAACUGGAAUUCUCGGUGUAGCGGUGAAAUGCGUAGAUAUCGAGAGGAACACCUGCGGCGAAGGCGGGUUGCUGGGCUGACACUGACGCUGAUGUGCGAAAGCUAGGGGAGCGAACGGG
This 254-nucleotide ribosomal RNA is filed under the name uncultured bacterium. RNAcentral's name for it is "partial 16S ribosomal RNA". It matches the Rfam family "Bacterial small subunit ribosomal RNA", at positions 524 to 776 of the family's 1533-position model. The record is from RNAcentral.